Molecule: long non-coding RNA, 310 nt
Organism: Nyctereutes procyonoides (raccoon dog)
Lineage: Eukaryota; Metazoa; Chordata; Mammalia; Carnivora; Canidae
Exons: 2
Source: RefSeq, a predicted model, not a curated record
UGGAAAUGCUCUCACCUGUUGUGAACCCGUCACAGCAACUGAUUGUCCAUUUGGUUGGUUCUGGCCUGGCACUGUCCAUGCUGAAAAGAAAUGGUCAACAUGAAGUCACAGAGACGAAAAAAGAAGCAAAGGGACGUGGAAAAUCUAUCUACUGAGAAUCCUAAUCCUGAAUGACUAAGUGGGCAACAGGGGACCAUUAUUAAAUCAUAUCCAUUGGCCCAAAGAGAUUAUGGACCUCCCAGAAAAUUGAAUCAAGCCAGAGCCUUGUGAUUUUCCCCUUCGCAUGUACAUUAAAUGCAAAAUGAUACUA